UACAGCCACAUCACGUUGAAAUGCCGGUAUUCGUACGAUCACAGAAGUUAAGCAACGUCGAGCGUGGACAGUAUUUAGAUGGGUGACCGCUUAGGAAUACUCAGUGCAGUA
Non-coding RNA from Acanthosepion pharaonis, 111 nucleotides. Lineage: Eukaryota; Metazoa; Mollusca; Cephalopoda; Sepiida; Sepiidae. The record is from the annotation of a GenBank genome assembly.